Molecule: transfer RNA, 73 nt
Organism: Cavia porcellus (domestic guinea pig)
Lineage: Eukaryota; Metazoa; Chordata; Mammalia; Rodentia; Caviidae
Rfam family: tRNA
About the family: Transfer RNA (tRNA) molecules are approximately 80 nucleotides in length.
Source: Rfam
GCCUCCCUAGCACAGUGGACAGUCUGUCAGUCUCAUAAUCUGAAGGUCCUGAGUUCAAACCUCAGAGGGGGCA